Lathyrus oleraceus (garden pea) is the source of this 1316-nucleotide RNA transcript. It is a transcript of the gene named serine/arginine-rich splicing factor RSZ22A, with no coding region annotated. Lineage: Eukaryota; Viridiplantae; Streptophyta; Magnoliopsida; Fabales; Fabaceae. The transcript is spliced from 7 exons. The record is from RefSeq and is a predicted model, not a curated record.
AAAAAAGAGUUUGUUCUUACCAAGUGAGUAAUAAAGUCAAACAAGUGGAUGCGGUUUCAAAUUUGUGUACGUUGGCUGUUCCUACAAAAACACUGAACAAACAAAGCUGCUGCUGCUGCUGCUAGGGUUUAUCCCUCCUUUUUCAAUAUUCACCACAUCGCCUUCAGGUUAUUGAUUCGUUUUUUCAGCGGAAACAAUGACUCGCGUGUAUAUUGGAAAUCUGGAUUCACGAGUUUCUGAGAGGGAUCUGGAAGAUGAUUUUCAUGUUUUUGGAGUUAUACGAAGUGUGUGGGUUGCAAGGAGGCCUCCUGGUUAUGCUUUCAUUGAUUUUGAUGACCGCAGAGACGCGCUGGAUGCUAUCCGCGAAUUAGAUGGUAAAAAUGGUUGGAGGGUAGAGCUUUCUCACAACUCUAAAACUGGAGGUGGAGGAGGAGGAAGAGGUGGUGGCGGUGGUGGUCGUGGUCGGUCAGGUGGGGGUGGUUCUGAUUUGAAAUGUUAUGAGUGUGGUGAACCUGGUCAUUUUGCCCGGGAGUGUCAUUCUUCUCGUGGUGGUGGUGGUGGAAGGCGUCGGAGCCGCAGUCCACCUCGAUUGCGUAGGAGCCCGAGUUAUGGGCGAAGGAGUUACAGUCCUCGUGAGCGGUCCCCUAGGCGGCGAAGCCCAUCUCCUCGUCGUCGCAGCCCUUCACCUCGUCGCCGAAGCUACAGCAGGUCACCCCCUCCUUACCGUGGACGUGAGGCCGUAGCACAUGCUAACGGAAAUGGGUUAAGGGAUGCACCUCGAAGCAGAAGUUGAUUUUUAAAAGUCGGUAACUGCGACUGUUCAGAAGAUACCGAGAUAUUGUUAAUCUAGUGUUUUCAACUGCAGUACACAUCUGUUUUGUUGGGCAGUGCCCUGAGCUUCUACCCUAAAUGGUUUAGUUACUUUCUUGAUUUACUGACUUGUGUUAUGUUAUCUACACCGAAUUCUUCAAGUUUUGUUGCAGGUGUCUUCUGGUACCACCGCCUUGGUUUUGUGCUUCUACGUUCACUGGGAUAUAUCCUCCCUAGCUGCCCUGUGUGUGAUUUUGAAUGAUUGUUAUUCCAGCCAGGCUGCUACAAAGCUUUAUGUUUCUUGAAUCUCGCUACUCGUUCAUGUCUCAAACUCUAACAGCAUGUUUUUUAAUUAAAUUAUAAGUGAUUGAUUACAUCAAAUAUGUAUUUUACAAAAGUUGGGCUUAUAGGUUUUACCCCUACCUGUGUUGUGAAUCUUAUGAUAAUGAAGAUAGAAAAAUUGAUAGAGCACCAGAAAUCCCAAUACAGCAAUAUACAUCUUGUCA